CACGUAGGUGGGAAUAUAAGUCAAAUGUGAAAACCCCGAGCUUAACUCGGGUCGUGCAUUUGAGACUGUAUUUCUUGAAUGUCCUAGGGGUUAGUGGAAUUCCAGGUGUAGGAGUGAAAUCCGUAGAUAUCUGGAGGAACAUCGGAGGCGAAGGCGGCUAACUGGGGGAACAUUGACACUGAGGUGCGAAAGCGUGGGUAGCAAACA
RNAcentral lists this ribosomal RNA (207 nucleotides) under uncultured bacterium. Its description in RNAcentral is "partial 16S ribosomal RNA". It matches the Rfam family "Bacterial small subunit ribosomal RNA", at positions 568 to 774 of the family's 1533-position model. The record is from RNAcentral.